CUGCCCGGGACUGAGUCGUUUCGAGAAAAGCGGAGACUGCUGCUCUGAGCGUUUUCGGACGAUCGUUGCGGCGAGAACCGCGUUAAUCGAAACGGCUUGAACCGGGCAAAAGUCGUAACAAGGUUUCCGUAGGUGAACCUGCGGAAGGAUCAUUA
RNAcentral lists this ribosomal RNA (155 nucleotides) under Steinernema sp. LFS8. RNAcentral's name for it is "partial 18S ribosomal RNA". It matches the Rfam family "Eukaryotic small subunit ribosomal RNA", at positions 1679 to 1831 of the family's 1831-position model. Lineage: Eukaryota; Metazoa; Nematoda; Chromadorea; Rhabditida; Steinernematidae. The record is from RNAcentral.